Molecule: long non-coding RNA, 792 nt
Filed under: Triticum aestivum (bread wheat)
Lineage: Eukaryota; Viridiplantae; Streptophyta; Magnoliopsida; Poales; Poaceae
Description: long non-coding RNA (TAES_LNC006264)
Source: RNAcentral
GGGAGCAACAGUAAUUACAAGCUUAGCUAGCGCCAUACCAGUAGUAGGAGAUACCAUAGUGACUUGGCUUUGGGGUGGUUUCUCCGUGGACAAUGCCACCUUAAAUCAUUUUUUUAGUCUCCAUCAUUUACUCCACCUUAAAUCGUUUUUUUAGUCUCCAUCAAAUAAUCCAUUGGGUGUACAUUCUGAGAUGGAUAAAAUUGCUUCUUACCCUUAUUUUUAUGUAAAGGAUCUUGUAGGUCGGGUAGCUUCUGCUAUCUUUUUUCCAUUUGGAUUUUUUUUGCUCCUAAUGUUUUGGGGCAUCCCGACAAUUAUAUGCCUGCUAAUCCGAUGCCCACCCCGCCUCAUAUUGUGCCGGAAUGGUAUUUCCUACCGAUCCAUGCCAUUCUUCGCAGUAUACCUGACAAAGCGGGAGGUGUAGCCGCAAUAGCACUAGUUUUUAUAUCUCUCUUGGCUUUACCUUUUUUUAAAGAAAUGUAUGUGCGUAGUUCAAGUUUUCGACCGAUUCACCAAGGAAUAUUUUGGUUGCUUUUGGCGGAUUGCUUACUACUAGGUUGGAUCGGAUGUCAACCUGUGGAGGCACCAUUUGUUACUAUUAGACAAAUUCCUUCUGUCUUUUUCUUCUUGUUCUUUGCCAUAACGCCCAUUCCAGGACGAGUUGGAAGAGGAAUUCCAAAAUAUUACACGGAUGAGACUCAUCGCACCGGAUCCUUUUCUCCUUUUGGCCAUAGCCAUAUAAUGAACAGGACUAUUUCUCCUUUUGGCCAUAGCCAUAGAAGAAGCUUCUCCUCC